Molecule: unclassified non-coding RNA, 253 nt
Filed under: uncultured Staphylococcaceae bacterium
Lineage: Bacteria; Bacillati; Bacillota; Bacilli; Caryophanales; Staphylococcaceae
Description: contains 16S-23S intergenic spacer region
Rfam family: Bacterial small subunit ribosomal RNA
Source: RNAcentral
UAUGUAGGUGGCAAGCGUUAUCCGGAAUUAUUGGGCGUAAAGCGCGCGUAGGCGGUUUUUUAAGUCUGAUGUGAAAGCCCACGGCUCAACCGUGGAGGGUCAUUGGAAACUGGAAAACUUGAGUGCAGAAGAGGAAAGUGGAAUUCCAUGUGUAGCGGUGAAAUGCGCAGAGAUAUGGAGGAACACCAGUGGCGAAGGCGACUUUCUGGUCUGUAACUGACGCUGAUGUGCGAAAGCGUGGGGAUCAAACAGG